This 279-nucleotide unclassified non-coding RNA is filed under the name plant metagenome. RNAcentral's name for it is "partial contains small subunit ribosomal RNA, internal transcribed spacer 1, and 5.8S ribosomal RNA". The record is from RNAcentral.
UCUCCGUUGGUGAACCAGCGGAGGGAUCAUUACAGAGUUUUCACAACUCCCAACCCUUGCGAACCGUACCCCUUCUGUUCUCGUUGCUUCCGGCCGGGGGGACGGGGGGGCCCGAAACGGCCUCCCCGCCCCGCCCGCCGGGGGCGGCGGGCCCUACGCACCUAUUUAUAUCAACCAACAGCAACCGUCUGCGGAAACAAACAAAAGAAUCAAAAAUUUCAACAAAGGAUCACUUGGCUCUAGCAUCGACGCAGAACACCACAGAGCGGAAGAGCACAC